GGGCGGGGGGUGGGGUGGGAAGAGUGUAGCAGUGAGGACGACGAGAGGUCACUCUCGUCGCCAUUUUGUUUUUGGUGGUUUUUGUCUGGCUUCUUUACCGCAACCUGUUUUAUCAGCAAAGUCUUUAUAACCUGUAUUUUGUGCUGACCUCCUAUCUCAUCCUGUGACUUAGAAUGCCUUAACAACUGUCUGGAAUGCAGCCCGAUCUGUGGAGUGGCUGCAGCACCUGUGUUUCAGCCUGAAGAAUGGGCACAGAUAUUUCAUGAUUCUGAAGAAGAAUUGGAGGUGAGACUUGAGAAAAUGGAGAAAAAGAUAUGCUUUGGAUUUUCUUGAAGACUAGAAGCUUUCUUAACCAUCCACCACCUUGUUGACUGGUUAUUAUUCUCUCUACCUUCUGUGAAACAAACUGAUGGAUACUAAUGGCACAAUUACACUUAUAGCUAGUCAGUUGCAUAGUUUAUGCACAUAGUUCUGCUUCCAGUGUUUAGUAAUGAGUUAAACAUUUUGGCUAUAUUUGUCUCUGAAGCUAUAAUUUCAAUUAAUCAUUAUGUAUAGCAAUAAUAACAAGUAAAACAAAAAGAAGAAUUUUUUGUUUCUAUGGUAAUUAUGUUGGGUGCUUUGGAUCCUCCCAAUAAAGUUGACUUCCUAAAAUAAUUACACUUGAAUUAGGUAUAGAGAAGCUAAUUGUAACAAAUUGAAAGUUACUGUAAAUCUUCUAAUCGUAGUUCUCUGCAAGUGUACUUAAGUUAUUGCUCCACUUGAAAUAAAUGAAAACUGGAAAUCUGAGGUGAUGAAUUAUGGGUCCCUUUUAUGUAAGAAAGAUGACAAGGAAAUCUAAUCUGCUGAGUUAUACUAAAAUAAAAUACCUUGGCCUGGGAUCAAAUAUAGGUGAAAGAAUUAACAUUUAUGUUUUUUAAUUAAGAUAAAAUGUACAAGUUUUAUGUACAUAUUUUAUGAUUUCCUGAUAUAACAAAAAGUGUUGAUAAAAGCACCCAAUACUGAUUCUAAUGACAUUUGAUUAGCAUUAAAGAGUUGCUAUUAUUA
This 1044-nucleotide long non-coding RNA is filed under the name Homo sapiens (human). RNAcentral's name for it is "long intergenic non-protein coding RNA 348". Lineage: Eukaryota; Metazoa; Chordata; Mammalia; Primates; Hominidae. The record is from RNAcentral.